GAGAUAUACAAAGAGAGAUCAUGAGGUGAUCCAAAAGUGUGAGUUUAUGAGUUUUUGAGAGCUUGUGGUUUUUAGAGAGUUUCCACAAGAUAUUAAUAAGAAGAGUUGUUCUUUUGCGAGUUUAUACUUUCAUACGUUUGAGACCUGUUUUCUAGAAGCACAACCGUCAUAUCCGCCUUCUACGCAUCCUUCGAGCGUUGCGCCUGCGUCAACCUUUCGACCUCCGAUGAUGAUGACGACGACAACGAGGAAUCCCACAAUCGUCCUCUUGCUCUCUCCGCCGCUCCUCAACCAGACGACAUCUUUUAGCUGUAAUCUGUCGGUCCUGAAAUUAGAUCUGGGAUGCAUGAUGCUCACAACUUUUGAUUGUAUAUGCCAGAUUCCAUGCUUGUUUUUUUUUCAAGCAUUUUUGUCCUAACAUCUUUGUAUAAACUGAUUAUGCUUGCCUCUGAAAGGAUUUGGAAUCUGAAUUUUUGUUGGAGUAGUUUGCAUAGUUUCUUUGUAUGAGAAUGACUGUGCUGAAG
RNAcentral lists this long non-coding RNA (524 nucleotides) under Brassica napus (rape). Its description in RNAcentral is "long non-coding RNA (BNAP_LNC011906)". The record is from RNAcentral. Lineage: Eukaryota; Viridiplantae; Streptophyta; Magnoliopsida; Brassicales; Brassicaceae.